AGCGUCAUUUCAACCAUCAAGCUCUGCUUGCGUUGGGGAUCCGCGUCUGACGCGGUCCCUCAAAAACAGUUGGCGGGCUCGCUAGUCACACCGAGCGUAGUAACUCUACAUCGCUAUGGUCGUGCGGCGGGUUCUUGCCGUAAAACCCCCCAUUUUUUAAGGUUGACCUCGGAUCAGGUAGGAAUACCCGCUGAACUUAA
RNAcentral lists this unclassified non-coding RNA (200 nucleotides) under soil metagenome. RNAcentral's name for it is "partial contains internal transcribed spacer 2 and large subunit ribosomal RNA". The record is from RNAcentral.